AUUAGCAGCUAUGUCACCCUGAACUCACAACUGACAACCCCCUGGAGCUCAGCAGGUGUGAGCCUGGUCAGUACCUGGAUGGGAGACCUCCUGGGAAAAACUAAGGUUGCUGUAGGAA
This 118-nucleotide ribosomal RNA is filed under the name Lepisosteus oculatus (spotted gar). Lineage: Eukaryota; Metazoa; Chordata; Actinopteri; Semionotiformes; Lepisosteidae. The record is from RNAcentral.